This 433-nucleotide ribosomal RNA is filed under the name uncultured marine eukaryote. RNAcentral describes it as "bacterial SSU rRNA". It matches the Rfam family "Eukaryotic small subunit ribosomal RNA", at positions 621 to 1056 of the family's 1831-position model. The record is from RNAcentral.
AAAAAGCUCGUAGUUGAAUUUCUGGACUUAGCGACCGGUCCGCGUCUUAUGGGCGUGUGUACUUGUGCGCUGUGUCCAUUUUCGUGGGGAACUGUCUGGCGUUCACGCGUCGGGCGGUGAUCCGCGUCUUUUACUGUGAAAAAAUUAGAGUGUUUAAAGCAGGCAUAUGCCUUGAAUACAUUAGCAUGGAAUAAUAAGAUAGGACUUUGGCCUAUUUUGUUGGUUAUUACGCCAAGGUAAUGAUUAAUAGGGAUAGUUGGGGGUAUUCAUAUUUCAUUGUCAGAGGUGAAAUUCUUGGAUUUAUGAAAGAUGAACAACUGCGAAAGCAUUUACCAAGGAUGUUUUCAUUAAUCAAGAACGAAAGUCAGGGGAUCGAAGAGGAUUAGAUACCCUCGUAGUCUUGACCAUAAACUAUGCCCGACUCAGGGAUUGG